Molecule: ribosomal RNA, 254 nt
Filed under: uncultured bacterium
Lineage: Bacteria
Description: partial 16S ribosomal RNA
Rfam family: Bacterial small subunit ribosomal RNA
Source: RNAcentral
UACGUAGGGACCAAGCGUUGUUCGGAUUUACUGGGCGUAAAGGGCGCGUAGGCGGCAUGACAAGUCACUUGUGAAAUCUCCGGGCUUAACUCGGAACGGUCAAGUGAUACUGUCGUGCUAGAGUACAGAAGGGGCAACUGGAAUUCUCGGUGUAGCGGUGAAAUGCGUAGAUAUCGAGAGGGAACACCUGCGGCGAAGGCGGGUUGCUGGGCUGAUACUGACGCUGAGGCGCGAAAGCUAGGGGAGCGAACGGG